UGGGGAAUAUUGCACAAUGGGCGAAAGCCUGAUGCAGCGACGCCGCGUGAGUGAAGAAGUAUUUCGGUAUGUAAAGCUCUAUCAGCAGGGAAGAAAAUGACGGUACCUGACUAAGAAGCCCCGGCUAACUACGUGCCAGCAGCCGCGGUAAUACGUAGGGGGCAAGCGUUAUCCGGAUUUACUGGGUGUAAAGGGAGCGUAGACGGUACCAUAAGUCUGAAGUGAAAGCCCGCGGCUCAACCGCGGGACUGCUUUGGAAACUAUGGAACUAGAGUGUUGGAGAGGUAAGUGGAAUUCCUAGUGUAGCGGUGAAAUGCGUAGAUAUUAGGAGGAACACCAGUGGCGAAGGCGACUUACUGGACAAUAACUGACGUUGAGGCUCGAAAGCGUGGGGAGCAAACAGG
RNAcentral lists this ribosomal RNA (404 nucleotides) under uncultured prokaryote. RNAcentral describes it as "bacterial SSU rRNA". It matches the Rfam family "Bacterial small subunit ribosomal RNA", at positions 355 to 776 of the family's 1533-position model. The record is from RNAcentral. RNAcentral also lists the same sequence under 1 other name.